UACGGAGGGAGCUAGCGUUGUUCGGAAUUACUGGGCGUAAAGGGCUCGUAGGUGGCCAACUAAGUCAGACGUGAAAUCCCUCGGCUUAACCGGGGAACUGCGUCUGAUACUGGAUGGCUUGAGUUUGGGAGAGGGAUGCGGAAUUCCAGGUGUAGCGGUGAAAUGCGUAGAUAUCAGGAGGAACACCAAUGGCGAAGGCAGCUCGCUGGGACGGUACUGACGCUGAGACGCGAAAGCGUGGGGAGCAAACAGG
This 253-nucleotide ribosomal RNA is filed under the name uncultured bacterium. Its description in RNAcentral is "partial 16S ribosomal RNA". It matches the Rfam family "Bacterial small subunit ribosomal RNA", at positions 524 to 776 of the family's 1533-position model. The record is from RNAcentral.